UACGGAGGAUGCGAGCGUUAUCCGGAUUUAUUGGGUUUAAAGGGAGCGUAGACGGGAUGUUAAGUCAGUUGUGAAAGGCUGCGGCUCAACCGCAGCACUGCAGUUGAUACUGGCGUCCUUGAGUGCGGUUGAGGUGUGUGUGGAAUUCGUGGUGUAGCGGUGAAAUGCUUAGAUAUCACGAAGAACUCCGAUUGCGAAGGCAGCACACUAAGCCGCUACUGACGUUGAGGCUCGAAAGUGUGGGUAUCAAACAGG
Molecule: ribosomal RNA, 255 nt
Filed under: uncultured Bacteroidaceae bacterium
Lineage: Bacteria; Pseudomonadati; Bacteroidota; Bacteroidia; Bacteroidales; Bacteroidaceae
Description: partial 16S ribosomal RNA
Rfam family: Bacterial small subunit ribosomal RNA
Source: RNAcentral